RNAcentral lists this unclassified non-coding RNA (2476 nucleotides) under Hevea brasiliensis (rubber tree). The record is from RNAcentral. Lineage: Eukaryota; Viridiplantae; Streptophyta; Magnoliopsida; Malpighiales; Euphorbiaceae.
GGUAAAUUCCUCAAUCAUAGACAUAGGCUGCGACUUGCGAGGUGAGACAGGAAACACCUUAUACCCUCAACUCAACUCAACAAAAGAUCCGUUAGAUCCAAUCGAAUGAAAUCAGUCAGGGGCAGGCCACCUGAUUUUUAGCCACGUGUACGGCUAUUGUCGCAUUGCAAAAAAUUCAACUGUAGCAAUGUGCAACUGAAACGGUCAAGUUGGUGGGUUCCGUUAGGCAAGCAACACAAAUGGGUAUAUUAUGGAAGAAAGGAAAAACCUGUUUUGCCUCGCUCGGUGUUCGCUAUCCCCAGUCUCCCACGUGGGCUCCACCAUCAAUUACCCCACUAUCAAGUCUUAACCCCCGCCCCCAUUGUCUGCUUAAGCUUUUCUUUCGGUGAUCCUUAACCCUCCCUAUAAAAAUCUCUAUAUCCCACUCACUCGAGUUAACCAACCAGUUUCCUCCCUUUCAUGCUCUGCUAUUCAAAGAAACGGAGCAUGGCAAUGGCUUCCUUCGCAUUCUCUUUCUCUUGCUUCCUUGUGCUACUUUCUUUCUUUGUCUUUGCAGAUGCAGCAGGUACAAUAGGCAUAAACUACGGCCGAGUCGCCAAUGACUUGCCAACACCGGACAAAGUUGUGGAACUUCUGAAAUCACAGGGAAUCAAACGUGUCAAGCUCUACGACACUGACUCAGCCGUUUUGACAGCACUUGCCAAUUCAGACAUUAGCGUCGUCGUAGCGCUGCCUAACGAGCUCCUCGCCUCCACUGCAGCCGACCAGUCUUUUGCUGAUAACUGGGUCCAAUCCAACAUCUCUCACUAUUACCCCAAGACACAAAUUGAAGCCAUUGCCGUAGGUAAUGAAGUUUUUGUUGACCCCAAAAACACCACCAAGUUCCUUGUACCCGCCAUGAAAAACGUUUACAAUUCUCUUGUCAAGCUUAACCUUUCUUCCAUUAAAAUCUCGUCUCCUAUAGCUCUCAGUGCUCUGCAGAACUCUUACCCAUCAUCAGCCGGAUCCUUCAAACCCGACUUAAUUGAACCCGUGAUGAAACCCAUGAUGGAAUUUCUGCGUCAAUCCGGGUCAUAUCUCAUGGUCAAUGCAUACCCAUUUUUUGCAUACACUGCCAACUCUAAGGAUAUCUCUUUGGACUACGCCUUGUUCAAAGAAAACCAGGGAACGGUGGAUUCCGGUAACGGUUUAAAGUACUACAGCCUUUUGGAGGCCCAACUCGACGCCGUUUUCGCUGCCAUGUCAGCUAUCCAGUACAACGACAUAAAAAUGGUGGUCACAGAAACCGGAUGGCCUUCGCUGGGCGAUGAAAACGAGAUUGGCGCAAAUGAGGAAAAUGCGGCGUCGUAUAACGGAAAUUUAGUGAAGAGAGUCUUGACCGGAAAUGGGACCCCUCUAAGAACGCAGGACCCACUUGACGUUUACUUAUUUGCAUUGUUCAAUGAGAACCAAAAACCGGGUCCCACAUCCGAGAGGAAUUACGGAUUGUUUUAUCCCAACGAAGAGAAAGUAUAUGAUAUACCUCUCACGUUGAAGGAUUUAGGUAACAGCCAAUCAACCCCAGUCAACAGGAACAAUAGUCAAGUCCCGGUGAAUGGUACCAGCGGUGAAGUGUCGAAGACGUCGGUCGGACAGACGUGGUGUGUAGCCAAUGGGAAUGCUGGAACGGAGAAGCUCCAAGUUGCGAUUGAUUAUGCUUGUGGUGAGGGAGGAGCUGAUUGCCGUCCAAUCCAACCCGGUGCGACGUGUUAUAAUCCAAACACAAUAGAGGCCCACGCUUCUUAUGCCUUUAACAGUUAUUACCAGAAGAAGGCCCGUGCUGCUGGUACGUGUGAUUUUGGUGGUACCGCUUAUGUGGUCACGCAGCCUCCUCAAUUUGGAAGCUGCGAGUUCCCUACCGGUUACUGAGUCGACAAAGAUGAGGGGGAAUUCAUUGGUGAAUAGCCGCAAAUUUUCUUAUUUCUACUAGUAUAUAGAGAGAUUACAAGGCAUUUCCUUUUGUAUUUAAUAUUACAUGUUAUAUUCUUAUAGUGUAGUUGGUUUGACUAUUUUGUCAAUAGUUGGUUUGACUAUUUUGUCAAUAGUUUUUAGUCCUUAUCUACUUGUACUGUUUAUUCUAUAUCAUAUGGUUCAUUUUUCUAUGAUAUAAUUAGAAUAGAAUAUGUGGUUGAGGAGGUGGCCUACUAACUACCACCCUAUCUCUUUCUUAUUUAGCUUUUGUAUUGUUGGGUUGGUUUGGAAAUUUUGGGAAAUUGGCUUAAUAUGAAAUGUUGAAACCAACAAAUCAUUCAAACUAGGGGCAAUUAGGGUUUGUUGGAAAUUCUGGGAGUCCUUGUCACACGCUUUGGAUUUAACGAACGAAUGAUUUCUUGAAGAAAUAUUAGUUAGGCGUUGCAAUUUUCUCAACUAAAAUUGGCUAAACUCUUCUAAAUUCUUUUUUACUUUUUUCCUAUCAUUCACAUCUGUGCAAGAUAUU